AUGAACGCUGGCCGCGUGCCUAAUACAUGCAAGUCGAGCGAACAGACGAGGAGCUUGCUCCUCUGACGUUAGCGGCGGGCGGGUGAGUAACACGUGGAUAACCUACCUAUAAGACUGGGAUAACUUCGGGAAACCGGAGCUAAUACCGGAUAACAUGUUGAACCGCAUGGUUCAACAGUGAAAGACGGUCUUGCUGGCACUUAUAGAUGGAUCCGCGCCGCAUUAGCUAGUUGGUAAGGUAACGGCCUACCAAGGCAACGAUGCGUAGCCGACCUGAGAGGGUGAUCGGCCACACUGGAACUGAGACACGGUCCAGACUCCUACGGGAGGCAGCAGUAGGGAAUCUUCCGCAAUGGGCGAAAUCCUGACGGAGCAACGCCGCGUGAGUGAAGAAGGUCUUCGGAUCGUAAAACUCUGUUAUUAGGGAAGAACAACUGUGUAAGUAACUAUGCACGUCUUGACGGUACCUAAUCAGAAAGCCACGGCUAACUACGUG
Molecule: ribosomal RNA, 496 nt
Filed under: uncultured bacterium
Lineage: Bacteria
Description: partial 16S ribosomal RNA
Rfam family: Bacterial small subunit ribosomal RNA
Source: RNAcentral